Molecule: non-coding RNA, 959 nt
Filed under: Variola albimarginata (white-edged lyretail)
Lineage: Eukaryota; Metazoa; Chordata; Actinopteri; Perciformes; Serranidae
Description: 12S ribosomal RNA
Rfam family: Bacterial small subunit ribosomal RNA
Source: RNAcentral
CAAAGGCUUGGUCCUGACUUUUUUAUCAAUUUUAGCCAAACUUACACAUGCAAGUAUCCGCACCCCUGUGAGAAUGCCCCCUCCCCAUUUCCCCGCCAGGGAACAAGGAGCCGGUAUCAGGCACGCCCCCCCCAGCCCAUGACACCUUGCUUAGCCACACCCUCAAGGGAACCCAGCAGUGAUAAACAUUAUGCCAUAAGUGAAAACUUGACCUAGUUAUAGCUAAGAGGGCCGGUAAAACUCGUGCCAGCUACCGCGGUUAUACGAGAGACCCGAGUUGAUAGAUACCGGCGUAAAGCGUGGUUAGAAGUAAGACGAACACUAGAGUCAAACAUAUACAGAGCUGUUAUACGCUCCCGAAUACAGGAAGAACACCCACGAAAGUGACUCUACGACACUUGAACCCACGAAAGCUAAGAUACAAACUGGGAUUAGAUACCCCAUUAUGCUUUGCCGUAAACAUUGAUAGUAUACCACAUCCACUAUCCGCCCGGGAACUACGAGCAUUAGCUUAAAACCCAAAGGACUUGGCGGUGCUUUAGACCCACCUAGAGGAGCCUGUUCUAUAACCGAUAACCCCCGUUCAACCUCACCUUUUCUUGUUUUCCUCCGCCUAUAUACCGCCGUCGUCAGCUUACCCUGCAGAGGGAACACACAGUAAGCACAAUUGGUAAUGCCCAAAACGUCAGGUCGAGGUGUAGCGCAUGAAAAGGGAAGAAAUGGGCUACAUUCCCUGUUACAGUGAAUACGGAUGAUAUUGCUGAAACGUAUGUCUAGAAGGAGGAUUUAGCAGUAAGUAGGAAGCAGAGCGUUCUACUGAAACUGGCCCUGAAGCGCGCACACACCGCCCGUCACUCUCCCCGAGCGAAAGUACUCAACUCUACCUAAAAAAUCGCAAUAGUAAAGGGGAGGCAAGUCGUAACAUGGUAAGUGUACCGGAAGGUGCACUUGAGCAAACC